GACAGAGGAGGCAAUUGUUAUCCGGAAUUAUUGGGCGUAAAGCGUCCGUAGGUGGUUUGGCAAGUCUGGGGUUAAAGCCCGGAGCCUAACUCCGGAUCGGCCCUGGAAACUGCCAGACUAGAGCAAGGUAGGGGUUGCGGGAAUUCCCGGUGUAGCGGUGAAAUGCGUAGAUAUCGGGAAGAACACCAGUGGCGAAAGCGCGCAACUGGGCCAUUACUGACACUGAGGGACGAAAGCUAGGGGAGAGAAUGGG
RNAcentral lists this ribosomal RNA (253 nucleotides) under uncultured bacterium. Its description in RNAcentral is "partial 16S ribosomal RNA". It matches the Rfam family "Bacterial small subunit ribosomal RNA", at positions 524 to 776 of the family's 1533-position model. The record is from RNAcentral.